This is a non-coding RNA of Vicia faba (fava bean), 345 nucleotides long. Lineage: Eukaryota; Viridiplantae; Streptophyta; Magnoliopsida; Fabales; Fabaceae. The record is from the annotation of a GenBank genome assembly.
UCACUUCCACAUGAUCCACGACAUCAACAAUUCACACCAACAAUUUUCAGCAGUCACACACAUUCACACGUACAAAAAAAAGCUCUUCUUUUUAAUUUAGUCAACAAAACCUUUACACUGUUACACUUUAACCUCUACACAAAAAAUCACAUUAACAUCAUUAGUCAACUUUCUCUUUUUCACGCAGAAGGCCACGUUUUGAUAAAAAAUAACAGCAUAGAAAAUUCCUCGAACAACACUCAUUCAACGAUCACCUCCAUAGCCAAUCUUCAAUCUCCUUCCCAAACUAGAUAUAAUCUUCAUCACUGUUAUUAUAAUAACCUGUCAUCCCAAAACCUGCAUUAG